GACGAACGCUGGCGGCGUGCUUAACACAUGCAAGUCGAACGGAAAGGCCCUGCUUUUGUGGGGUGCUCGAGUGGCGAACGGGUGAGUAACACGUGAGUAACCUGCCCUUGACUUUGGGAUAACUUCAGGAAACUGGGGCUAAUACCGGAUAGGAGCUCCUGCUGCAUGGUGGGGGUUGGAAAGUUUCGGCGGUUGGGGAUGGACUCGCGGCUUAUCAGCUUGUUGGUGGGGUAGUGGCUUACCAAGGCUUUGACGGGUAGCCGGCCUGAGAGGGUGACCGGGCACAUUGGGACUGAGAUACGGCCCAGACUCCUACGGGAGGCAGCAGUGGGGAAUAUUGCACAAUGGGCGGAAGUCUGAUGCAGCAACGCCGCGUGCGGGAUGACGGCCUUCGGGUUGUAAACCGCUUUCGCCUGUGACGAAGCGUGAGUGACGGUAAUGGGUAAAGAAGCACCGGCUAACUACGUG
Molecule: ribosomal RNA, 468 nt
Filed under: uncultured bacterium
Lineage: Bacteria
Description: partial 16S ribosomal RNA
Rfam family: Bacterial small subunit ribosomal RNA
Source: RNAcentral